Lonchura striata (white-rumped munia) is the source of this 231-nucleotide non-coding RNA. The record is from RefSeq and is a predicted model, not a curated record. NCBI's taxonomy places the organism in Eukaryota, Metazoa, Chordata, Aves, Passeriformes, Estrildidae.
GCAGGAAGGCCGGGCUGGGCUCGGGGCUCUCGCUGCAGCCCCUGGUGCACCCUGAGCUCCAGGACGGCGCCCAGCAGACCCAGCAGUGCCUGGAGCUCUUCGCCGCCACGGCCGAGGUGCUGCUGCUCAAGCACGGCAAGAGGAUCGUGGAGGAGCAGUUCUCCCUGAAGCGCGUGGCCGACGCCGCCAUCGACGUCUACGCCAUGGCCGUGGUGCUGUCGCGGUAACGCC